RNAcentral lists this ribosomal RNA (773 nucleotides) under uncultured bacterium. RNAcentral describes it as "bacterial SSU rRNA". It matches the Rfam family "Bacterial small subunit ribosomal RNA", at positions 143 to 917 of the family's 1533-position model. The record is from RNAcentral.
AUAACCCGGCGAAAGUCGGACUAAUACCGUAUGUUGUCCCAUUGACGGCAUCCGAUUUGGACGAAAGGCUUGGCGGUGAGGGAUGGGGAUGCGUCCGAUUAGCCAGACGGCGGGGUAACGGCCCACCGUGGCGACGAUCGGUAGGGGUUCUGAGAGGAAGGUCCCCCACACUGGAACUGAGACACGGUCCAGACUCCUACGGGAGGCAGCAGUGAGGAAUAUUGGUCAAUGGGCGUAAGCCUGAACCAGCCAAGUAGCGUGCAGGACGACGGCCCUAUGGGUUGUAAACUGCUUUUAUGCGGGGAUAAAGUGGCCCACGUGUGGGUUUUUGCAGGUACCGCAUGAAUAAGGACCGGCUAAUUCCGUGCCAGCAGCCGCGGUAAUACGGAAGGUCCGGGCGUUAUCCGGAUUUAUUGGGUUUAAAGGGAGCGUAGGCCGCGCCUUAAGCGUGUUGUGAAAUCCGGGUGCUCAACAUCCGGCUUGCAGCGCGAACUGGGGCGCUUGAGUGCGCAGAAAGUAGGCGGAAUUCGUGGUGUAGCGGUGAAAUGCUUAGAUAUCACGAGGAACUCCGAUUGCGAAGGCAGCCUACUGUAGCGCUACUGACGCUGAUGCUCGAAAGCGUGGGUAUCGAACAGGAUUAGAUACCCUGGUAGUCCACGCGGUAAACGAUGGAUGCUCGUUGUCGGCCCUUUGGGUCGGUGACCAAGCGAAAGCGUUAAGCAUCCCACCUGGGGAGUACGCCGGCAACGGUGAAACUCAAAGGAAUUGACGGA